RNAcentral lists this ribosomal RNA (484 nucleotides) under uncultured bacterium. RNAcentral describes it as "partial 16S ribosomal RNA". It matches the Rfam family "Bacterial small subunit ribosomal RNA", at positions 30 to 507 of the family's 1533-position model. The record is from RNAcentral.
AUUGAACGCUAGCGGGAUGCUUUACACAUGCAAGUCGAACGGCAGCGCGGACUUCGGUCUGGCGGCGAGUGGCGAACGGGUGAGUAAUGUAUCGGAACGUGCCCAGUAGCGGGGGAUAACUACGCGAAAGCGUAGCUAAUACCGCAUACGCCCUACGGGGGAAAGCAGGGGAUCGUAAGAACUUGCACUAUUGGAGCGGCCGAUAUCGGAUUAGCUAGUUGGUGAGGUAACGGCUCACCAAGGCGAUGAUCCGUAGCUGGUUUGAGAGGACGACCAGCCACACUGGGACUGAGACACGGCCCAGACUCCUACGGGAGGCAGCAGUGGGGAAUUUUGGACAAUGGGGGCAACCCUGAUCCAGCCAUCCCGCGUGUGCGAUGAAGGCCUUCGGGUUGUAAAGCACUUUUGGCAGGAAAGAAACGUCGCGGGCUAAUACCCCGUGGAACUGACGGUACCUGCAGAAUAAGCACCGGCUAACUACGUG